This 74-nucleotide transfer RNA is filed under the name Apaloderma vittatum (bar-tailed trogon). It matches the Rfam family "tRNA". Rfam says of the family: Transfer RNA (tRNA) molecules are approximately 80 nucleotides in length. The record is from Rfam by way of RNAcentral. Lineage: Eukaryota; Metazoa; Chordata; Aves; Trogoniformes; Trogonidae.
GGGCGGUUAGCUCAGUCAGUUAGAGCAUGGUGCUGAUAACACCAAAGUCGCGGGUUCGAUCCCUGUUUGGUCCC